RNAcentral lists this long non-coding RNA (344 nucleotides) under Brassica napus (rape). RNAcentral describes it as "long non-coding RNA (BNAP_LNC001170)". The record is from RNAcentral. Lineage: Eukaryota; Viridiplantae; Streptophyta; Magnoliopsida; Brassicales; Brassicaceae.
GUUGUUUGGACCCUUUCAUUUAUCUCAUUAUUUUUUGGUCUUACCUUAAAUAUAGACUAACAAUAUGUUACCAUAUAUUUCUCUAACAAUAAUUUAUUCAAUUCCUUUAUUUAUUAAAAUUUCACUCCUAAAUCUUAAUCACUACUAUUAUUAUAUUUACCAUUUUGAUUUUGAUUUUUAAUCGUAAAAGCAUUGAAACUAAUAUUUUAUAUUAUCUUUUUUAUCAUAUAAUAUAUGAUUUAAAGCAAGAGAAGUUACACGAUAUAUAUGUGUACAUUCUAACUUUCUCUUUCCUUUAUAAUAAAGUAAUCAUAUCAUAUAUAAAUUUUUUCACUAAAAUCUCA